UAAUCAUGUUUUUUCCUUUCUCUCAGGAAGGCUAAACGANGACAGGCCUCUUUAGUGUGCUCUCGGGAUGUCUUUUUCGAACCAUUUAAAGGAGGUUUUGAUAUGCUUCGUGAAAGAGACAUGUGGGUUCCGACCACUAACGAUGGUCCGCAGGGAACCCUAGGAAUCGCUCCGGAACUUUAAACGCAAAACCUGCUCCUCUAUAUGCCUCUCCACCCCCCUCGGAAGUAGAAUAUCGAACAAGGUUUCCGUAGGUGAACCUGCGGAAGGAUCAUUACUGAGAGUACCGGGCUCUGCCUGGCUACUUUUACCCAUGUUUUUAGAGUACCAAAAGUUUCCUCGGCGGCUCUGCCCGCCGGUCGGACUCCAUUCAAACCCUUUGCAGUUGCAGUCAGCGUCUGAUAAACAAAAUAAUUACAACUUUCAACAACGGAUCUCUUGGUUCUGGCAUCGAUGAAGAACGCAGCGAAAUGCGAUAAGUAGUGUGAAUUGCAGAAUUCAGUGAAUCAUCGAAUCUUUGAACGCACAUUGCACCUCUCGGUAUUCCGGGAGGUAUGCCUGUUCGAGCGUCAUUUGUACCCUCAAGCUCUGCUUGGUGUUGGGUGUUUGUUCCGCCUUUGCGUGUGAACUCGCCCUAAAACAAUUGGCAGCCGGCGUACUUGUUUCGGAGCGCAGCACAUUUUGCGUUCAGAUCAGUGUACACUGGCACCCAAGAAGCCUUAUUUUAACGCUCUGACCUCGNUCAGUAGG
Molecule: ribosomal RNA, 750 nt
Filed under: Wilsonomyces carpophilus
Lineage: Eukaryota; Fungi; Ascomycota; Dothideomycetes
Description: eukaryotic LSU rRNA
Rfam family: 5.8S ribosomal RNA (bases 419-572)
Source: RNAcentral